GAUGAACGCUGGCGGCGUGCCUAAUACAUGCAAGUCGAGCGAACAGAUGAGGAGCUUGCUCCUCUGACGUUAGCGGCGGACGGGUGAGUAACACGUGGAUAACCUACCUAUAAGACUGGGAUAACUUCGGGAAACCGGAGCUAAUACCGGAUAAUAUAUUGAACCGCAUGGUUCAAUAGUGAAAGACGGUUUUGCUGUCACUUAUAGAUGGAUCCGCGCCGCAUUAGCUAGUUGGUAAGGUAACGGCUUACCAAGGCAACGAUACGUAGCCGACCUGAGAGGGUGAUCGGCCACACUGGAACUGAGACACGGUACAGACUCCUACGGGAGGCAGCAGUAGGGAAUCUUCCGCAAUGGGCGAAAGCCUGACGGAGCAACGCCGCGUGAGUGAUGAAGGUCUUCGGAUCGUAAAACUCUGUUAUUAGGGAAGAACAAAUGUGUAAGUAACUAUGCACGUCUUGACGGUACCUAAUCAGAAAGCCACGGCUAACUACGUG
This 497-nucleotide ribosomal RNA is filed under the name uncultured bacterium. Its description in RNAcentral is "partial 16S ribosomal RNA". It matches the Rfam family "Bacterial small subunit ribosomal RNA", at positions 28 to 507 of the family's 1533-position model. The record is from RNAcentral.